GAUGAACGCUGGCGUCGUGCCUAAUACAUGCAAGUCGAGCGAACGGACGAGAAGCUUGCUUUUCUGAUGUUAGCGGCGGACGGGUGAGUAACACGUGGAUAACCUACCUAUAAGACUGGGAUAACUUCGGGAAACCGGAGCUAAUACCGGAUAAUAUUUUGAACCGCAUGGCUCAAAAGUGAAAGACGGUCUUGCUGUCACUUAUAGAUGGAUCCGCGCUGCAUUAGCUAGUUGGUAAGGUAACGGCUUACCAAGGCAACGAUGCAUAGCCGACCUGAGAGGGUGAUCGGCCACACUGGAACUGAGACACGGUCCAGACUCCUACGGGAGGCAGCAGUAGGGAAUCUUCCGCAAUGGGCGAAAGCCUGACGGAGCAACGCCGCGUGAGUGAUGAAGGUCUUCGGAUCGUAAAACUCUGUUAUUAGGGAAGAACAUAUGUGUAAGUAACUGUGCACAUCUUGACGGUACCUAAUCAGAAAGCCACGGCUAACUACGUG
RNAcentral lists this ribosomal RNA (497 nucleotides) under uncultured bacterium. RNAcentral describes it as "partial 16S ribosomal RNA". It matches the Rfam family "Bacterial small subunit ribosomal RNA", at positions 28 to 507 of the family's 1533-position model. The record is from RNAcentral.